GUCGGAGUGGCGGAAUUUGGUAGACGCGCUAGGUUGAGGGCCUAGUGAGCCAAUGGCUCAUGGGGGUUCAAGUCCCCCCUCCGACACCA
This 89-nucleotide transfer RNA is filed under the name bacterium BMS3Abin01. RNAcentral's name for it is "tRNA-Leu". It matches the Rfam family "tRNA". Rfam says of the family: Transfer RNA (tRNA) molecules are approximately 80 nucleotides in length. Their secondary structure includes four short double-helical elements and three loops (D, anti-codon, and T loops). RNAcentral also lists the same sequence under 4 other names. The record is from RNAcentral.